UCUGAAUCCUGGGCCUGCCCCUUACUGACUGUGUGAUCUUGGGCAGGUUAUUGAACUGAUCUGUGCUUCGGUUCCCUUAAAAUGAGACAGAUAGUACCUCAUUUACAGGAUUGUGGUGGAAUGGGUGACACAGGGUAGGUAUUCUGAGUAAGCUUAGAAUUGUAUAGUUUGAGUAAUUUCAGCGGACUCUGGGCUGGAGGAGUGGUAUUUGACCCUGGGGUGGUUUAGGGCAGGGAGAAAAUUGGCUUGCUUUUUGAGAGUUUGAUAAAGGAGAGGGUUGGGGGUGUGGGCUGUGGGUGGGUUGGUUCGUAUAUCAAAGACAGGCUCACAGGGGAGUCUUUCGCCAUGCCUAGGAAUUAGCUAGUCCUGUGAGGGCAGUCUCUCAAGGAUCAAGGCCCCAGAUGCCAGAGCAUCAAGAAUAUGGAAAAUCAGAGAACAUGAUCAAUAUACCAGCUCAUCCCUGGAUGAAGCUCCCUGCCUUUCCUCAUACAGACAAAAAAGUGCAAUCCUCAAUUUUCCGGCCUACCUUGUAGCUGGGAGCUAUAAAAUGAAGUUCAUCAGGCAUGAGCGGUCUGCUGGUACUGCUUCUUCCCGCUUCCCCUUCUUCUUGCUUUGGGAUGGGAUGCGAUGUUUGCUGCUGUAACAGCCAUUUGCAGCCAUAAGGAAAAGGCCAAAUGAAUUGCAGUGGUGUCCAUUGAACCAAUUCUGUAUUUUUCUGGACUUCUUGUUUUGUGAGAAAAAUAAACUGCUAUUUAAACCA
This 760-nucleotide long non-coding RNA is filed under the name Homo sapiens (human). RNAcentral's name for it is "HSALNT0294618". Lineage: Eukaryota; Metazoa; Chordata; Mammalia; Primates; Hominidae. The record is from RNAcentral.